RNAcentral lists this ribosomal RNA (326 nucleotides) under uncultured eukaryote. Its description in RNAcentral is "partial 18S ribosomal RNA". It matches the Rfam family "Eukaryotic small subunit ribosomal RNA", at positions 1470 to 1796 of the family's 1831-position model. The record is from RNAcentral.
CCCUUAGAUGUUCUGGGCCGCACGCGCGCUACACUGAUGCAUUCAACAAGCCUAGCCUUGACCGAGAGGUCCGGGUAAUCUUUGAAACUGCAUCGUGAUGGGGCUAGAUUAUUGCAAUUAUUAAUCUUCAACGAGGAAUGCCUAGUAAGCGUGAUUCAUCAAAUCGCGUUGAGUACGUCCCUGCCCUUUGUACACACCGCCCGUCGCUCCUACCGAUUGAAUGUGUUGGUGAGGAGCUCGGAUUGGCAGCAGUUGGUGGUUCGCCACCGGCUAUUGCUGAGAAGUCCUCCAAACCGCCCCAUUUAGAGGAAGGAGAAGUCGUAACA